AUACGAAGGGUGCAAGCGUUAAUCGGAAUUACUGGGCGUAAAGGGUGCGUAGACGGCCUGAUAAGUCGACUGUGAAAGUCCUGGGCUCAACCUGGGGACGGCAGUUGAUACUGUUAGGCUUUGAGUUUGGGAGAGGGUGGUGGAAUUCCCGGUGUAGCGGUGAAAUGCGUAGAGAUCGGGAGGAACAUCCGUGGCGAAGGCGGCCACCUGGCCUGAAACUGACGUUGAGGCACGAAAGCGUGGGGAG
RNAcentral lists this ribosomal RNA (247 nucleotides) under uncultured bacterium. RNAcentral's name for it is "partial 16S ribosomal RNA". It matches the Rfam family "Bacterial small subunit ribosomal RNA", at positions 523 to 768 of the family's 1533-position model. The record is from RNAcentral.